Long non-coding RNA from Rana temporaria (common frog), 469 nucleotides. RefSeq lists it as uncharacterized. The record is from RefSeq and is a predicted model, not a curated record. Lineage: Eukaryota; Metazoa; Chordata; Amphibia; Anura; Ranidae. The transcript is spliced from 2 exons.
CAGUCCCAGAGUUUUGUGGAUCGGUCUUUCAGUUGAUAAGGGAAUCUGGACGUGGGUGGACGGCACAUCUUAUGAGAGAUCUCUAAAGUUCUGGAGAGAGGGGCAGCCUUUUAGCUGGGAUUACUAUGGAUUUGACCAGGAUAGCUCUGAACAUUUCUUUGAACUUUUCCAACACCACAUUGAAGAAAGGUGUGUUUUUUUUUGGAAGACGGAGAGGGCUGGAGCUCUUCUUCCUGCUCCGAUAGUUACCAAUACGUCUGUGAGAAGAAGACAUUGUGACCUACAGACUUCUCCUGAUAUCUCCAUCUCCUAAUUAAUCCUUCACCAUACUGCAGUGAUGGAGAAUCUACUAACAAAGCAAAAUGUAUCCUGCUGGCAAUUCUGGGACUUGGACUACCUUGUGAUGAGGGUUCCUCAAAAUGUCUACACCCCAUCUCCAGCCUUCAAUUUAUUAAACAACUAAACUCCA